GACGAACCGAGCGAACGUUGUUCGGAAUCACUGGGCUUAAAGGGCGCGUAGGCGGGCUGUCAAGUUUGGGGUGAAAUCCCGCGGCUCAACCGUGGAACUGCCUCAAAUACUGACGGUCUCGAGGGAGGUAGGGGCGAGCGGAACUGAUGGUGGAGCGGUGAAAUGCGUUGAUAUCAUCAGGAACUCCGGUGGCGAAGGCGGCUACCUGGACGGGUACUGACGCUGAUGCGCGAAAGCUAGGGGAGCAAACAGG
This 253-nucleotide ribosomal RNA is filed under the name uncultured bacterium. RNAcentral's name for it is "partial 16S ribosomal RNA". It matches the Rfam family "Bacterial small subunit ribosomal RNA", at positions 524 to 776 of the family's 1533-position model. The record is from RNAcentral.